AAUGGAGGCAACUCUGACCCAGCCACGCCGCGUGGAGGAUGAAGGUGCUAUGCAUCGUAAACUUCUUUUGUCAAGGGAGAAAGUGCUUGAUUAAUCAGGUUUUGACGGUACUUGGCGAAUAAGCAUCGGCUAACUACGUGCCAGCAGCCGCGGUAAUACGUAGGAUGCAAGCGUUAUCCGGAAUCACUGGGUUUAAAGGGUCUGUAGGCGGUAUCAUAAGUCAGUGGUGAAAUAUCUGGGCUUAACUUGGAGGGUGCCAUUGAUACUGUAGUACUUGAGAUAGAAUGACGUGGGCGGAAUGUGUCAUGUAGCGGUGAAAUGCUUAGAGAUGACACAGAACACCGAUUGCGAAGGCAGCUCACGAAGCCUUAUCUGACGCUGAGGGACGAAAGCGUGGGGAGCAAA
RNAcentral lists this ribosomal RNA (405 nucleotides) under uncultured bacterium. RNAcentral describes it as "bacterial SSU rRNA". It matches the Rfam family "Bacterial small subunit ribosomal RNA", at positions 370 to 772 of the family's 1533-position model. The record is from RNAcentral.